This 490-nucleotide ribosomal RNA is filed under the name uncultured bacterium. RNAcentral's name for it is "partial 16S ribosomal RNA". It matches the Rfam family "Bacterial small subunit ribosomal RNA", at positions 30 to 507 of the family's 1533-position model. The record is from RNAcentral.
AUUGAACGCUGGCGGCAGGCCUAACACAUGCAAGUCGAACGGUAACAGGAAGAAGCUUGCUUCUUUGCUGACGAGUGGCGGACGGGUGAGUAAUGUCUGGGAAACUGCCUGAUGGAGGGGGAUAACUACUGGAAACGGUAGCUAAUACCGCAUAACGUCGCAAGACCAAAAAGGGGGACCUUCGGGCCUCUUCCCUUCGGUUUUGCCCAGAUGGGAUUAGCUAGUAGGUGGGGUAACGGCUCACCUAGGCGACGAUCCCUAGCUGGUCUGAGAGGAUGACCAGCCACACUGGAACUGAGACACGGUCCAGACUCCUACGGGAGGCAGCAGUGGGGAAUAUUGCACAAUGGGCGCAAGCCUGAUGCAGCCAUGCCGCGUGUAUGAAGAAGGCCUUCGGGUUGUAAAGUACUUUCAGCGGGGAGGAAGGGAGUAAAGUUAAUACCUUUGCUCAUUGACGUUACCCGCAGAAGAAGCACCGGCUAACUCCGUG